CCUACGGGAGGCAGCAGUGAGGAAUAUUGGUCAAUGGACGAGAGUCUGAACCAGCCAAGUAGCGUGAAGGAUGACUGCCCUAUGGGUUGUAAACUUCUUUUAUAUGGGAAUAAAGUGUUCCACGUGUGGGAUUUUGUAUGUACCAUAUGAAUAAGGAACGGCGAAAUCCGGGCCAGCAGCCGCGGUAAUACGGGGGAUCCGAGGGUUAUCCGGAUUUAUUGGGUUUAAAGGGAGCGUAGGUGGAUUGUUAAGUCAGUUGGGAAAGUGUGCGGCGCAACCGUAAAAUGGCAGUUGAAACUGGCAGUCUUGAGUAGAGUAGAGGUGGGCGGAAUUCGUGGUGUAGCGGUGAAAUGCGUAGAUAUCACGAAGAACUCCGAUUGCGAAGGCAGCUCACUGGACUGCAACUGACACUGAGGCUCGAAAGUGUGGGGAUCAAACAGGAUUAGAUACCCUGGUAGUC
RNAcentral lists this ribosomal RNA (460 nucleotides) under uncultured bacterium. Its description in RNAcentral is "partial 16S ribosomal RNA". It matches the Rfam family "Bacterial small subunit ribosomal RNA", at positions 338 to 795 of the family's 1533-position model. The record is from RNAcentral.